AUUGAACGCUGGCGGCAUGCCUUACACAUGCAAGUCGAACGGGCUUUGGGGCUUGCCCCAAAGUUAGUGGCGAACGGGUGAGUAAUAUAUCGGAACGUACCCUUGAGUGGGGGAUAACUAAUCGAAAGGUUAGCUAAUACCGCAUACGAUCUACGGAUGAAAGUGGGGGACCGCAAGGCCUCAUGCUCGUGGAGCGGCCGAUAUCUGAUUAGCUAGUUGGUGGGGUAAAGGCCCACCAAGGCGACGAUCAGUAGCUGGUCUGAGAGGACGAUCAGCCACACUGGGACUGAGACACGGCCCAGACUCCUACGGGAGGCAGCAGUGGGGAAUUUUGGACAAUGGGCGAAAGCCUGAUCCAGCAAUGCCGCGUGAGUGAAGAAGGCCUUCGGGUUGUAAAGCUCUUUUGUCAGGGAAGAAACGGUGGGGGCUAAUAUCCUCUGCUAAUGACGGUACCUGAAGAAUAAGCACCGGCUAACUACGUGCCAGCAGCCGCGGUAA
Molecule: ribosomal RNA, 498 nt
Filed under: uncultured bacterium
Lineage: Bacteria
Description: partial 16S ribosomal RNA
Rfam family: Bacterial small subunit ribosomal RNA
Source: RNAcentral